Molecule: transfer RNA, 74 nt
Filed under: Podarcis lilfordi (Lilford's wall lizard)
Lineage: Eukaryota; Metazoa; Chordata; Lepidosauria; Squamata; Lacertidae
Description: tRNA.Ile
Source: RNAcentral
GCCUGGAUAGCUCAGCUGGUUGGAGCAUGCUACUGAUAAUACCAAGGUUGCAGGUUCGAUCCCCACAUAGGACA